This 496-nucleotide ribosomal RNA is filed under the name uncultured bacterium. RNAcentral's name for it is "partial 16S ribosomal RNA". It matches the Rfam family "Bacterial small subunit ribosomal RNA", at positions 28 to 507 of the family's 1533-position model. The record is from RNAcentral.
GAUGAACGCUGGCGGCGUGCCUAAUACAUGCAAGUCGAGCGAACAGACGAGGAGCUUGCUCCUCUGACGUUAGCGGCGGACGGGUGAGUAACACGUGGAUAACCUACCUAUAAGACUGGGAUAACUUCGGGAAACCGGAGCUAAUACCGGAUAAUAUAUUGAACCGCAUGAUCAAUAGUGAAAGACGGUUUUGCUGUCACUUAUAGAUGGAUCCGCGCCGCAUUAGCUAGUUGGUAAGGUAACGGCUUACCAAGGCAACGAUGCGUAGCCGACCUGAGAGGGUGAUCGGCCACACUGGAACUGAGACACGGUCCAGACUCCUACGGGAGGCAGCAGUAGGGAAUCUUCCGCAAUGGGCGAAAGCUUGACGGAGCAACGCCGCGUGAGUGAUGAAGGUCUUCGGAUCGUAAAACUCUGUUAUUAGGGAAGAACAAAUGUGUAAGUAACUAUGCACGUCUUGACGGUACCUAAUCAGAAAGCCACGGCUAACUACGUG